GAUGAACGCUAGCUACAGGCUUAACACAUGCAAGUCGAGGGGUAACAAGAGAAAAGCUUGCUUUUCUUGUUGACGACCGGCGCACGGGUGAGUAACGCGUAUCCAACCUGCCUAUAACUAGGGAAUAACCUUGCGAAAGUAAGACUAAUACCCUAUGAUUUCCUUUGAUGACAUCAGAUUAGGAAUAAAGCUUUAUCGGUUAUAGAUGGGGAUGCGUCUGAUUAGCUUGUUGGCGGGGUAACGGCCCACCAAGGCAACGAUCAGUAGGGGUUCUGAGAGGAAGGUCCGCCACAUAGGAACUGGGACACGGUCCAAACUCCUACGGGAGGCAGCGGUGAGGGAUAUUGGUCAAUGGGCGGAAGCCUGAACCAGCCAAGUAGCGUGCAGGAGGACGGCCCUAUGGGUUGUAAACUGCUUUUAUACAGGAAUAAAGUUGGCCACGUGUGGUUAUUUGUAGGUACUGUAUGAAUAAGGACCGGCUAAUUCCGUGCCAGCCGCCGCGGUAA
This 506-nucleotide ribosomal RNA is filed under the name uncultured bacterium. RNAcentral describes it as "partial 16S ribosomal RNA". It matches the Rfam family "Bacterial small subunit ribosomal RNA", at positions 28 to 523 of the family's 1533-position model. The record is from RNAcentral.